This 715-nucleotide long non-coding RNA is filed under the name Malus domestica (apple). RNAcentral describes it as "long non-coding RNA (MDOM_LNC008214)". Lineage: Eukaryota; Viridiplantae; Streptophyta; Magnoliopsida; Rosales; Rosaceae. The record is from RNAcentral.
UAGUCAUUAUGGGUAAAUUAGUAAUUGUACAUCAACUUUUGGUUAUAAUUAUCAUAAACUUAGAAAAAUAACUAUAUUCUAUUUGAGGUCCAAAUUUUGAUUACUUAUUCAAAUUUCCCUUAGGCUUGUUGUCCAGCUUGCAUAUGGAGGGAGACGGGGAGUGUCCGACGUUGGUAAAGCAGCACGACACUAAUUAUAUAUCUGUGUUCGCAUUAGUGCACUUUCAUGAAAAUCCGUAUCAAGGUCCGCAUGAACGUUGGCUACAUGAAGUAAAAAUCCGACAAUGAUAUGGAGUAAGUUUAGGGGGGAAGAAGAGGUGCAAUUGGACUUCAUCAUCAAGACCGACCACUAUGCUUCAUCCUUUAACCAAGUUCUUUGAUAAGGGCGUUGUGGAUCUCACUUGCGGUUAGGGAUGGGCAAAAUACCCAUGGGUAUGGGUAACCACGGUUACCCGUCCAUUUAAAGUUAACGGUUAUGGUUAUGGGUAAUCGUUUAGACAAAUAAACGGUUAUGGGUAUAACCGUUUAUCUAUGAAAUUUAAAUGGCCGGUUAUGGGUAUUAUCCGUGGUUAUAACGGGUAUCCAUUGGUUAUGGGUAAUAUUCAUGGUUAUAACGGGUAUCCAUUUAGCUAUUUAAUUUAAUAUAUGUAAAAUUAAAAAAAAAAUUAAAAAACCCUCAGAAAUUAAAUUACAACUCUGUCACUCUCUCUCUCUCU